ACGAACGCUGGCGGCGUGCUUAACCCAUGCAAGUCGAACGGUGAAGGGGUCUGCUUUUGUGGGCCCUGGAUGAGUGGCGAACGGGUGAGUAACACGUGAGUAACCUGCCCCCUUCUUCUGGAUAACCGCAUGAAAGUGUGGCUAAUACGGGAUAUUCUGGGUCUGUCGCAUGAUGGGUCUGGGAAAGAUUGCGCCUUUGGGUGUUUUUGGUGGGGGAUGGGCUCGCGGCCUAUCAGCUUGUUGGUGGGGUGAUGGCCUACCAAGGCGGUGACGGGUAGCCGGCCUGAGAGGGUGGACGGUCACACUGGGACUGAGACACGGCCCAGACUCCUACGGGAGGCAGCAGUGGGGAAUAUUGCACAAUGGGCGCAAGCCUGAUGCAGCGACGCCGCGUGAGGGAUGGAGGCCUUCGGGUUGUAAACCUCUUUCGCCAGUGAAGCAGGCCUGCUCCUUGUGGGUGGGUUGACGGUAGCUGGAUAAGAAGCGCCGGCUAACUACGUG
RNAcentral lists this ribosomal RNA (501 nucleotides) under uncultured bacterium. RNAcentral's name for it is "partial 16S ribosomal RNA". It matches the Rfam family "Bacterial small subunit ribosomal RNA", at positions 29 to 507 of the family's 1533-position model. The record is from RNAcentral.